RNAcentral lists this transfer RNA (73 nucleotides) under Canis lupus familiaris (dog). It matches the Rfam family "tRNA". From Rfam's summary of the family: Transfer RNA (tRNA) molecules are approximately 80 nucleotides in length. RNAcentral also lists the same sequence under 3 other names. The record is from Rfam by way of RNAcentral. Lineage: Eukaryota; Metazoa; Chordata; Mammalia; Carnivora; Canidae.
ACCUAGCUGGCUCAGUCAGUAGAGCAUGUGACUCUUAAUCUCAGGGUCAUGAGUUCAAGCCCCACGUUGGGCU